RNAcentral lists this ribosomal RNA (253 nucleotides) under uncultured bacterium. RNAcentral describes it as "partial 16S ribosomal RNA". It matches the Rfam family "Bacterial small subunit ribosomal RNA", at positions 524 to 776 of the family's 1533-position model. The record is from RNAcentral.
UGCGUAGGUGGCAAGCGUUGUCCGGAUUUACUGGGCGUAAAGGGCGUGCAGGCGGUCUGUUAAGUCUAGGGUGAAAUCCCCGGGCUCAACCCGGGAACUGCGUCCGAUACUGGCAGGCUUGAAUCCGGGAGAGGGAUGUGGAAUUCCAGGUGUAGCGGUGAAAUGCGUAGAUAUCUGGAGGAACACCGGUGGCGAAGGCGGCAUCCUGGACCGGUAUUGACGCUGAGGCGCGAAAGCCAGGGGAGCAAACGGG